Molecule: ribosomal RNA, 450 nt
Filed under: uncultured Glomus
Lineage: Eukaryota; Fungi; Glomeromycota; Glomeromycetes; Glomerales; Glomeraceae
Description: SSU rRNA
Rfam family: Eukaryotic small subunit ribosomal RNA
Source: RNAcentral
AGCAGCCGCGGUAAUUCCAGCUCCAAUAGCGUAUAUUAAAGUUGUUGCAGUUAAAAAGCUCGUAGUUGAAUUUCGGGGUUAGUAGGUUGGUCAUGCCUCUGGUAUGUACUGGUCUCACUGAUUCCUCCUUCCUGAUGAGCCGUAAUGCCAUUAAUUUGGUGUUGCGGGGAAUUUGGACUGUUACUUUGAAAAAAUUAGAGUGUUUAAAGCAAGCUAACGCUUGAAUACAUUAGCAUGGAAUAAUGAAAUAGGGCGUUCGAUCCUAUUUUGUUGGUUUCUAGGAUUGACGUAAUGAUUAAUAGGGAUAGUUGGGGGCAUUAGUAUUCAGUUGUCAGAGGUGAAAUUCUUAGAUUUAUUGAAGACUAACUACUGCGAAAGCAUUUGCCAAGGAUGUUUUCAUUAAUCAAGAACGAAAGUUAGGGGAUCGAAGACGAUCAGAUACCGUCGUAG